UAAUACCCAAUGAUAUCUCUAGAAGACAUCUGAAGGAGAUUAAAGAUUUAUCGGUGAUGGAUGGGGAUGCGUCUGAUUAGCUUGUUGGCGGGGUAACGGCCCACCAAGGCUACGAUCAGUAGGGGUUCUGAGAGGAAGGUCCCCCACAUUGGAACUGAGACACGGUCCAAACUCCUACGGGAGGCAGCAGUGAGGAAUAUUGGUCAAUGGGCGAGAGCCUGAACCAGCCAAGUAGCGUGCAGGAUGACGGCCCUAUGGGUUGUAAGCUGCUUUUAUAAGGGAACAAAGUGAGUCUCGUGAGACUUUUUGCAUGUACCUUAUGAAUAAGGACCGGCUAAUUCCGUGCCAGCAGCCGCGGUAAUACGGAAGGUCCGGGCGUUAUCCGGAUUUAUUGGGUUUAAAGGGAGCGUAGGCCGGAGAUUAAGCGUGUUGUGAAAUGUAGACGCUCAACGUCUGCACUGCAGCGCGAACUGGUUUCCUUGAGUACGCACAAAGUGGGCGGAAUUCGUGGUGUAGCGGUGAAAUGCUUAGAUAUCAUGAAGAACUCCGAUUGCGAAGGCAGCUCACUGGAGCGCAACUGACGCUGAAGCUCGAAAGUGCGGGUAUCGAACAGGAUUAGAUACCCUGGUAGUCCGCACGGUAAACGAUGGAUGCCCGCUGUUGGUCUGAAUAGGUCAGCGGCCAAGCGAAAGCAUUAAG
This 699-nucleotide ribosomal RNA is filed under the name uncultured Bacteroidota bacterium. Its description in RNAcentral is "bacterial SSU rRNA". It matches the Rfam family "Bacterial small subunit ribosomal RNA", at positions 164 to 864 of the family's 1533-position model. The record is from RNAcentral. Lineage: Bacteria; Pseudomonadati; Bacteroidota.